UCUCUCUCUCUCUCUCUCUCUCUCUCUCUCUCUCUCUCUCUCUCGUUUUUGACGGUUAAAGUUAUGUACAAUCAAGUACGUGCACAAGGGAAGACAAGGCUGAACAAACCAUAUAAAUCUGGCCAUUGCGAGCCAAUUCACUGUACCCUCAACCGCAAGCACAAGCUCGGCUUAAUUACAAACGGGCAACAGAGGUACAAAGUAUGGAUAAGGAAAACACACACCUGUACUACAAAAACUGCAAAAUAAUGCAAGAGAACGAGAGGCUGAGGAAGAUAGCUGAGCAACUCCAGAAGGAGAAUGAGGAACUGUACUCUGAGCUGCAGCAGAGACGCAUGAAAAGAUCAGCGUCCAACCCAAACCCUAAAGCUGACCCCGAUGGUGGCUCCUCUUCAACCUCCAAUCCCAGCAAACCCUGAUUAUAUCGAUAUGGUUAUCUCAAUGAGCCCUUCUGCCUAUUGCCUCUCUGGUAUACAGAUAAAAUUUACCAGCGUAUGUUCUUUCACCACCGCACUUGUUACCCACUAGUACUUAUCUUUCAGAAAUCCCAACUUUCAAAGCAAAAGGAACUUAUUAAUUAUAUAAA
Malania oleifera is the source of this 586-nucleotide long non-coding RNA. RefSeq lists it as uncharacterized. The record is from RefSeq and is a predicted model, not a curated record. Lineage: Eukaryota; Viridiplantae; Streptophyta; Magnoliopsida; Santalales; Ximeniaceae. The transcript is spliced from 2 exons.